RNAcentral lists this ribosomal RNA (244 nucleotides) under uncultured bacterium. RNAcentral describes it as "partial small subunit ribosomal RNA". It matches the Rfam family "Bacterial small subunit ribosomal RNA", at positions 26 to 285 of the family's 1533-position model. The record is from RNAcentral.
AGAAUCAACGCUGGCGGCGUGCCUAACACAUGCAAGUCGCACGAGAAAGGGGAUUCGUCCCUGAGUAAAGUGGCGCACGGGUGAGUAACACGUGAAUUAUCUACCUCCGAGUGGGGAAUAACUGAGAGAAAUCUUAGCUAAUACCGCAUAACACUUACGAGUCAAAGCAGCAAUGCGCUGAAAGAGGGGGUCGCGGCCGAUUAGCUAGUUGGCGGGUAAUGGCCCACCAAGGCAGUGAUCGGUA